GGAGCCCCACCCGGGGCUGGAUCUCACGACCCUGAGGUCGUGACCCGAGCCAAAGUCAAGAGGCGGGCACUUCACCGAAUGAGCCACCCGGGCGCCCCGGCACUGGAUUCUUGAACCAUCUUGCGCGUUCGAAGGUGUGGUAGAUUAGACGGCUGUUCCAAAUAUUCACUGCCUCCCUUCCCCUCUGCCUCCACAGGGGGAGUAUACAUCCCCGCAUCUUGACUUUGGGCUUGACCGCAUAACUUGCUUUGGCCAGUGAAGUGUUAGCAGAGAAAGCAUAAUCGGAGCCUUGAAAAGAGCGUGUGUGGCUGGCCUCGCCCUCUUUAUACCUAUGACACUGCCGUGAGGAGAACGUGUUCAGCCUAACCUCCGGUCCCAGGAGGAGUGACACGCGUGUGGAGCAGCGCUGCUCCGGCCAAGCCCAGUGUAGCUCACCUGACCCCCAGGUUUGUGAGUGAACCCAGCCAAGAUCAUCAGAACCACCGGUCAACGCAGGGGCGUCUGAGCUGGCAGGAUUUUGCAAGAACCAUGCUAGUGGGGGAAGGAAAAGGACGGAGUCUCUACCGUUGGAUGAGAGGAAAUCCACGCUCCCCGUGUGGCCUCCACCAACAGCACCCUGGCAGGGAGAGUGAGAGACACAGCAGAACCAUGGAGUAGGAAAUCUCAGCUCCUCAGCUGGCCUCUAAUGACACCCAGGGGGUCUUCAAGGCUUUUGUGGAACAAAGGCAGAGAACUUCUGGUCCAGCCCCAGAGUGACGGAGAGGACACAAGCCGCUGCCUUCUUAGCUGGGUUUUGCCUGUGCUCCGGUCAGCCCUUUUAAUCUCCAGGAGAGGAUCUCCGCAAGCCCAGAACCCUACGGCCAAGAAAUCUGCUUAAACGUCAAUGUUUCCCUGUCUUUUCAAACUUAAGUACCCACCAAUAAAGAAGAGAAACUCUUUAAUGCUCCAUACUCAA
Long non-coding RNA from Leopardus geoffroyi (Geoffroy's cat), 955 nucleotides. RefSeq lists it as uncharacterized. The record is from RefSeq and is a predicted model, not a curated record. The transcript has 3 exons. Lineage: Eukaryota; Metazoa; Chordata; Mammalia; Carnivora; Felidae.